Molecule: small RNA, 116 nt
Filed under: Salmonella enterica
Lineage: Bacteria; Pseudomonadati; Pseudomonadota; Gammaproteobacteria; Enterobacterales; Enterobacteriaceae
Description: partial RtT sRNA
Rfam family: RtT RNA
About the family: This family represents a bacterial cis-regulatory element known as RtT RNA. The exact function of RtT is unknown although it is thought that it may be involved in changing the cellular response in relation to amino acid starvation.
Source: RNAcentral
GUACGGGGAAGGAUGAGAAGCUUCGACUAAGGUUCGAUUCGAGCGAAAGCGAGAAAGCGUUGCCAACGGCAACGACCCGAAGCGCGCAGCGGUGAGUAAUCCUUCCCCCACCACCA